Poecilia latipinna (sailfin molly) is the source of this 530-nucleotide long non-coding RNA. RefSeq lists it as uncharacterized. The record is from RefSeq and is a predicted model, not a curated record. NCBI's taxonomy places the organism in Eukaryota, Metazoa, Chordata, Actinopteri, Cyprinodontiformes, Poeciliidae. The transcript has 2 exons.
UAUUCUAUAAUACAGUUUUUUUUCCUUGUUUUUGAGUGGCACCAAUUUUGAAAGAAAUACCUUUAACUCAAAAAUUUCUAUGUUCUGAAUGGCAAAUAUUUCCAGCAUCAAAAGAUCACUGGUAAGAAUAAACAUCUAGGUGAUUGCCUGAGUGAAGUUGGCCCCCCCACCUUCUUCAAAUCAGACAAAAUUGGUGUCAAUCAACUCAGCUAUGUCUCUGCUGGUUUGUGCAGCAAACAUUUUCCUUUGUGCUGCUAUCAUUCUAAAGAUAUUAAGAAAAAUGUUUCUAGAGGUCAUCAAAGGUCAGUCAACAUCAGUUCAUGCUGGAUCUGUGAAUUUCAUUUGAAAUUGUUAAGUGCUAACCUAUGAACAUGAAUAAUUUAAUUUUAAUCUUGAUGAAAUUCACUUGGAACUAGGUCUUAUUUAGAAUGGACUGAUACAAUACCUCCCAAAACACACUCAGUGACCUGUAUUUUAGUUUCUGAUCACCAGAGGGUGCUAUUAGACAAACUGUACUGUUGAAAUACGAA